Molecule: ribosomal RNA, 433 nt
Filed under: uncultured bacterium
Lineage: Bacteria
Description: partial 16S ribosomal RNA
Rfam family: Bacterial small subunit ribosomal RNA
Source: RNAcentral
AACGAACGCUGGCGGCAUGCCUAACACAUGCAAGUCGAACGAGACCUUCGGGUCUAGUGGCGCACGGGUGCGUAACGCGUGGGAACCUGCCCUUAGGUUCGGAAUAAAUCCCCGAAAGGGGUGCUAAUACCGGAUAAUGUCUUCGGACCAAAGAUUUAUCGCCUUUGGAUGGGCCCGCGUUGGAUUAGCUAGUUGGUAGGGUAAAAGCCUACCAAGGCGACGAUCCAUAGCUGGUCUGAGAGGAUGAUCAGCCACACUGGGACUGAGACACGGCCCAGACUCCUGCGGGAUGCAGCAGUGGGGAAUAUUGGACAAUGGGCUAAAGCCUGAUCCAGCAAUGCCGCGUGAGUGAUGAAGGCCUUAGGGUUGUAAAGCUCUUUUACCCGGGAUGAUAAUGACAGUACCGAGAGAAUAAGCACCGGCUAACUCCGUG